GAGAGAGUCAUAAAGGUUAUGGAACUGGCUUGAAACCGGUUUUUGGGGGUUCGAUUCCUUCCUUUCUUG
This 69-nucleotide transfer RNA is filed under the name Dasypus kappleri (great long-nosed armadillo). RNAcentral's name for it is "tRNA-Ser". It matches the Rfam family "tRNA". From Rfam's summary of the family: Transfer RNA (tRNA) molecules are approximately 80 nucleotides in length. Their secondary structure includes four short double-helical elements and three loops (D, anti-codon, and T loops). Further hydrogen bonds mediate the characteristic L-shaped molecular structure. tRNAs have two regions of fundamental functional importance: the anti-codon, which is responsible for specific mRNA codon recognition, and the 3' end, to which the tRNAs corresponding amino acid is attached (by aminoacyl-tRNA synthetases). tRNAs cope with the degeneracy of the genetic code in two manners: having more than one tRNA (with a specific anti-codon) for a particular amino acid; and 'wobble' base-pairing, i.e. permitting non-standard base-pairing at the 3rd anti-codon position. Lineage: Eukaryota; Metazoa; Chordata; Mammalia; Cingulata; Dasypodidae. The record is from RNAcentral.